CUACAACCAAACUCUCUUUCCAAGUAUUGCAAAAUCGUGGCUUUCGAUUUCAAUUUUCUCACCAUUUCGUUAGUCCCAUCAUACAAAUCUAUAAUAUUUGGUUAAUAAUGUUUUUUUCUCCACAAAAUAUACAUUUCUUCAAUUAUUUGCCACAGUUUUGCUGAAUUAGUUACCGUCAGAAACAUGGAAAAAGUUAUUUCGCUGACCUCAGAAUGACAUUUCGUCAAAAAAUUUUCUUCAAGAUUGGUUUAGAAACAAACUUGAAGUAGGGUUAGGUUAGGCUUAGGGUAAGGCUUAGAGUUAGGGGUUAGAGUUGGUGUUUGGAAUAGGGUUAGUGUUAGUAAAACCGUUGCUUGGUUACGUUUUGUCACUCUGAGGCCAGCGAAAUAACCUCUUCCCAGAAACAUCCUCUGGUAAAUCCGCCAUAUUGUUUAACCCGCAAUGCAUCAUGGUCUAUGCUCACCAAAAAAUUUAUUGCAAAAAUGAUUUUCAACAAAAAUUUUGAAAGAAAAACAAACAAAAAAAUAAAAAGUUGAAACACAAAAAUAAAAAGUUGAAAGACAAAAAUAAAAAGUUGAAACACUAAAAUAAAAAGUUGAAACACAAAAAUAAAAAGUUGAAACACAAAAAUAAAAAGUUGAAACACAAAAAUAAAAAGUUGGAACACAAAAAUAAAAAGUUGAAACACAAAAAUAAAAAGUUGAAACACAAAAAUAAAAAGUUGAAACACAAAAAUAAAAAGUUGAAACACAAAAAUAAAAAGUUGAAACAAAAAUAAAAAGUUGAAACACAAAUAUAAAAAGUUGAAACACUAAAAUAAAAAGUUGAAACACUAAAAUAAAAAGUUGAAGCACUAAAAUGAAAAGUUGAUCUGAGCCUCCUGGGCUUCCAUAG
Non-coding RNA from Paramuricea clavata, 894 nucleotides. The record is from the annotation of a GenBank genome assembly. Lineage: Eukaryota; Metazoa; Cnidaria; Anthozoa; Malacalcyonacea; Plexauridae.